RNAcentral lists this ribosomal RNA (312 nucleotides) under Bacillus haynesii. Its description in RNAcentral is "bacterial SSU rRNA". It matches the Rfam family "Bacterial small subunit ribosomal RNA", at positions 1 to 302 of the family's 1533-position model. The record is from RNAcentral. Lineage: Bacteria; Bacillati; Bacillota; Bacilli; Caryophanales; Bacillaceae.
UUCAUGGAGAGUUUGAUCCUGGCUCAGGACGAACGCUGGCGGCGUGCCUAAUACAUGCAAGUCGAGCGGACCGACGGGAGCUUGCUCCCUUAGGUCAGCGGCGGACGGGUGAGUAACACGUGGGUAACCUGCCUGUAAGACUGGGAUAACUCCGGGAAACCGGGGCUAAUACCGGAUGCUUGAUUGAACCGCAUGGUUCAAUUAUAAAAGGUGGCUUUUAGCUACCACUUACAGAUGGACCCGCGGCGCAUUACCUAGUUGGUGAGGUAACGGCUCACCAAGGCAACGAUGCGUAGCCGACCUGAGAGGGUG